RNAcentral lists this ribosomal RNA (444 nucleotides) under ascomycete sp. Hw12. RNAcentral's name for it is "SSU rRNA". It matches the Rfam family "Eukaryotic small subunit ribosomal RNA", at positions 92 to 539 of the family's 1831-position model. Lineage: Eukaryota; Fungi; Ascomycota. RNAcentral also lists the same sequence under 1 other name. The record is from RNAcentral.
AAUGGCUCAUUAAAUCAGUUAUCGUUUAUUUGAUAGUACCUUACUACAUGGAUAACCGUGGUAAUUCUAGAGCUAAUACAUGCUACAAGCCCCGACUUCGGAAGGGGUGUAUUUAUUAGAUAAAAAACCAACGCCCUUCGGGGCUCCUUGGUGAAUCAUGAUAACUCAACGAAUCGCAUGGCCUUGCGCCGGCGAUGGUUCAUUCAAAUUUCUGCCCUAUCAACUUUCGAUGGUAGGAUAGUGGCCUACCAUGGUGUCAACGGGUAACGGGGAAUUAGGGUUCGACUCCGGAGAGGGAGCCUGAGAAACGGCUACCACAUCCAAGGAAGGCAGCAGGCGCGCAAAUUACCCAAUGCCAACCCGGCGAGGUAGUGACAAUAAAUACUGAUACAGGGCUCUAUCGGGUCUUGUAAUUGGAAUGAGUACAAUUUAAAUCCCUUAACG